This 506-nucleotide ribosomal RNA is filed under the name uncultured bacterium. Its description in RNAcentral is "partial 16S ribosomal RNA". It matches the Rfam family "Bacterial small subunit ribosomal RNA", at positions 29 to 523 of the family's 1533-position model. The record is from RNAcentral.
AGUGAACGCUGGCGGUAGGCCUAACACAUGCAAGUCGAACGGCAGCACAGAGGAGCUUGCUCCUUGGGUGGCGAGUGGCGGACGGGUGAGGAAUACAUCGGAAUCUACUCUGUCGUGGGGGAUAACGUAGGGAAACUUACGCUAAUACCGCAUACGACCUACGGGUGAAAGCAGGGGAUCUUCGGACCUUGCGCGAUUGAAUGAGCCGAUGUCGGAUUAGCUAGUUGGCGGGGUAAAGGCCCACCAAGGCGACGAUCCGUAGCUGGUCGGAGGGGAUGAUCAGCCACACUGGAACUGAGACACGGUCCAGACUCCUACGGGAGGCAGCAGUGGGGAAUAUUGGACAAUGGGCGCAAGCCUGAUCCAGCCAUACCGCGUGGGUGAAGAAGGCCUUCGGGUUGUAAAGCCCUUUUGUUGGGAAAGAAAUCCAUCUGGUUAAUACCCGGGUGGGAUGACGGUACCCAAAGAAUAAGCACCGGCUAACUUCGUGCCAGCCGCCGCGGUAA